CUGAGGGAAUCAGUCUCUGGAUUAGGAGAUGAAUAACUUUGGAAGUUCCCUGCAGAGAAGAGAGAAAAGCAAGAACUGAGCUAACGGUACCAGCAGAUGAGAAGGUACUCACCAGUUUCAGAUGCACCCUGGUCCUCUCCCUGUUCAUGUUUGUUUUACUCCAGAUGAAGUUGUGCAAAUAUGGAGACAAGAACAAAGUGGAAUAUAGAAUCCGGGAAAUCUGAACAUAGAACUUGUGGAGAGGUGGAACAG
RNAcentral lists this long non-coding RNA (252 nucleotides) under Numida meleagris (helmeted guineafowl). RNAcentral's name for it is "lncRNA (ENSNMEG00000021042.1)". Lineage: Eukaryota; Metazoa; Chordata; Aves; Galliformes; Numididae. The record is from RNAcentral.